Molecule: ribosomal RNA, 420 nt
Filed under: uncultured bacterium
Lineage: Bacteria
Description: bacterial SSU rRNA
Rfam family: Bacterial small subunit ribosomal RNA
Source: RNAcentral
UAAGGAAUAUUGCUCAAUGGGAGAAAUCCUGAAGCAGCAACGCCGCGUGGAGGAUGAAGGGUCUAUGACUUGUAAACUCCUGUAAAGAAGGAAAAAAUUCCCAUUUGAUGGGAGAUGAUGGUACUUCUGGAGUAAGCCCCGGCUAACUCCGUGCCAGCAGCCGCGGUAAUACGGAGGGUGCGAGCGUUAUCCGGAUUUACUGGGUUUAAAGGGUGCGUAGGUGGGCUUAUAAGUCAGUGGUGAAAUCUCCGAGCUUAACUUGGAAACUGCCGUUGAUACUAUAGGUCUUGAAUUAUCUGGAGGUAAGCGGAAUAUGUCAUGUAGCGGUGAAAUGCUUAGAUAUGACAUAGAACACCAAUUGCGAAGGCAGCUUACUACAUAUAAAUUGACGCUGAGGCACGAAAGCGUGGGGAUCAAACA